CCCAGUCUAAAUAGACAGCUCACAAAGUUUUGGGACGCAGCCUUUCGCUGCUCCUCAUUUACGCUCAUUAGAUCAGUCCACUCGCUAAUACUGGAGGAACUACAGCCUUUAAAAAUCAUUUCUACAGCUACAUGUCCAACUGACGCAACAAGACGGGAGUUUAGUGCUCAUAUGUGGAGUUUAUUUGGGAAUCUUGAGUGAUUUGAGCAGAACUGUUUUUAUGAUUUUACAUGCGCUAAUGUUAGCCUGUUAGCUCUUAAUCUCUCUUUAUAAACCUCCGUUCAAAUCAACAUGAAGAUCACUGUGGAUUUUGAAGAAUGUCUCAAAGAUUCACCCAGAUUCAGGGCGACAAUUGAGGAAGUUGAGGGCGACGUCAGUGAGCUUGAGUCCAAAUUAGACAAGCUGGUGAAGUUGUGCAUUGGAAUGAUUGAUGCUGGAAAGGCUUACAACACUGCGAACAAACAGUUUGUGAACGGGAUUCGAGAGUUAGCUCAGCAGUCUGCCAAAGAUGAUGUCAUCGAGAUUUCCGACCGAUUUGGAAGGCGUUACUGUAGUUGCACCCAGCUGCAAGGUGAUGUCGUGUUCAACAGCAGGGUUAGCUGGAAAGACAAGGAGUUCAGUCUUGGCUGGGUUGAGUUGCAGGUGGUGCUCCUUCAUUCAGGCCGAGAUGUCCACCAGUCCAGUCUUACCAAGUUUGCUGAGAGUCUUCAAGAGAUGAUCGGCUAUCACACAAUUUUGUUCGACCAAGCACAGCGAUCAAUCAAAUCACAACUGCUGACGUUUGUGCGAGAGGACCUUCGGAAGUUUAAAGAAGCUAAGAAACAAUUUGACAAAGUGAGCGAAGAGAAAGAGGCAGCUCUGUCCAAAAAUGCCCAAGCACCUCGCAACAAACAGCACGAGGUGGAUGAGGCCACCAACAUUCUGAAUGCCACACGCAAGUGCUUCAGACACGUCGUUCUGGACUACGUACUGCAGAUUAAUGUGCUCCAGUCCAAGAGACGAUCAGAAAUCCUCAAAUCGAUGCUGUCCUUCAUGUACGCCCACCUGACAUUCUUCCAUCAGGGUUAUGAUCUGUUCAGUGAACUACAACCCCUCAUGAAAACACUCACUGGACAGCUGGAUCAACUGGUGAUGGACUCAGCGAAAGAGAGGAAGGAUAUGGAGACCAAACACUCCACUAUACAACAGAAGGAGUUUGCGAAUGACGAGACCAAAUUGGAGUAUAAUGUGGAUGCAGAGAAUGGGAUCGUCAUGGAGGGAUAUCUGUUCAAGAGAGCCAGUAAUGCCUUCAAAACAUGGAACCGGCGAUGGUUCUCAAUUCAAAACAAUCAGCUAGUGUACCAGAAAAAAUUUAAGGAUAACCCUACUGUUGUGGUGGAUGACUUACGGUUAUGCACCGUCAAACACUGCGAGGACAUCGAACGCCGCUUCUGUUUCGAAGUUGUGUCUCCGACAAAGAGUUGUAUGAUGCAAGCGGACUCUGAAAAACUCAGACAGGCCUGGAUUAAAGCCGUCCAAAACAGUAUCGCUACAGCCUUCAGGGACAAAGCAGAGGACGCUGAGAAGAUGGACAGGAAGUCGUCUACAUCUACAGGCAGUCUGGAAUCAGGUGGAGAUACGAAGGAGAAGACUCUUAAAGGUGACGGCGCACUGCAGAGGGUGAUGGCUAUCGCUGGCAAUAGCACCUGCUGUGACUGUGGGCAACCUGACCCACAUUGGGCAAGCAUUAACCUGGGCAUCACUCUCUGCAUUCAGUGCUCGGGGAUACACAGGAGUCUUGGAGUUCAUUUCUCUAAGGUCAGAUCUCUGACACUGGACACAUGGGAGCCUGAACUGCUCAAGCUGAUGUGUGAGCUAGGAAAUGGUGUCAUUAAUCAAAUCUAUGAAUCACGCCGGGAAGAACUUGGAGCCAGAAAACCACAGCCAGGAGAUCCCAGGCAUGAGAUGGAGGCAUACAUCAAAGCCAAGUAUGUUGAGCGAAGGUUUGUCCAGAGACGGUCAGAAGAUAAGAUCAAAGAGAAGGUUUUAUCAUUGAGUAAUCCAGAUAAAGAUCUUAGUAGCUGCUCAGAAGCUCAGCCUACAAGACAACCAGCAACAUCAAAACCCCCACCUGCCUCUGGUUCCUCAGCCCAAAACGAGUCUCUCUUCUGUGUAGAUGAGCUUGACUCUCUCUUCUCCUACUUUAACACCUCCGCCAAACUGCGUAGUUUGAAAAGUGCUGAUGGUGAAACAAACAACCUCACUGAUGGAAGCAAAGAAAUGCUGAAUACAGCUGCUGCCUCCAACACGCUCAGUGACACGGAAGGCACAGAGUCGCACGUCACGGAUCCUCAGGCUGAAUGUUGUGGGAAAGAUGUGCUGGUGUUCUGUGAGCCGAAGCAGUUCACCGCAGGCCUGCAGCUGUACUGGGCAUCGUUCUCUCGCAGUCUGCCUGACAUGGCUGAAGCUCUCGCACAUGGAGCCGAGGUCAACUGGGCCAAUAUGGAUGAUGACAACAGAACGCCCCUCAUCAUGGCUGUACAUGGGGGAUCUCUGGUCACCUGUGAAUUUCUGCUGCAAAAUUCAGCCAGAGUGAACCAGCAAGACAAUCUAGGUAGAGGACCAUUACAUCACGCCACCAUACUGGGCCAUACGGGACAAGUGUGUUUAUUCCUGAAACGGGGAGCCAAUCAGAAUGCAGCAGACAUUGAGAAUAAAACACCACUGUCAACCGCAGUCGAGGCAGCAAAUGCUGAUAUUGUCACGCUGCUUCGACUGGCAAAGAUGAACGAGGAAAUGCGGGAAUCAGAGGGUCCGUACAGUCAGUCAGGUCAAUAUAACUCUAACAGCCCUACUGAGAUGCAGUACAGGAAGUGUAUGGAAGAGUUCAUUAGCUUACAGCUCAAAGACUCCUGAUACACAUACUGUACAUUAUUUGACCAAAUCACCAAAGCCUGCAGCAUAUGCACAAUAUCUGUGAAUUUACACAGCUCAAGCUUUAAUUUACCCCCGGAUGGGUUCAUAUAGUCUAGUAUUUUAAUGUAAAGCAUCUUAUUUAUAAACAUUAGUAGGUCAAAACUGCAAUAAAUAGUCUUGUGAAAGAUUGUAAACUAGUAUUGAACACAUAUACACCUUGUAUACAUUUGUCUGAAUGCAAUUACUGGCAGUCUUAUAUGGUAGCGUAUGGAAUUACUCUAUGCUCAAUGUGUGUAUCGGUAUAUUUGUGAUCAUUUUGACACAUUCCUGAUAUUUAUCACUUCAUUGAUGUUCUUCGGGGACAAGUUUUUAUUAAAUUUAAAAUGUACUGGUAUUUAUGAAAAUCAUUGCAUUUGCCCAUAAAUGAUAACAAUUACAGUAUUAUAAAUGCAUAACAUAAUAACAAAACAGAAAACACUUUUAGCUCAAUUAACUUAUUUUUUUUUUAAAUUAUUUAAAUAUAACAAUUUUAUCCACAGGAUAAUUGUCCAUUACCAAAAGUGAUUAACAUAAGAGACAUAUUUAGCAUGAACUGCAUAAAUAUAUAAAAAAAUAUUGUAUGUUGGAUAUAUUUAUUUAUUUAUUUCUUAAUGUGGAAUUAAAUUGCACUAAAAUUAUUAAUUUAUCAGAAAUGUUUUAAGGUGUAAAAACAGGAGAAAAAAACUAUAAAAUAUGUUUGGAUUAAUCAAGUAGUUGUGAGGCAUUAGCUGUUACACUAGUGAUUGUAGUUAAGUAUGUUUAGCAACAGAUGGGUGCUGUAAAGCAGGCCUUUACACCCACUGCUGGAUGGAUCUGGUGAAGUAUCAAAUCGUUGUGGCAAAAAUGUUGACCUGCAAUUUAUCUGUGAUCUGAAAUAUAAUCUCCUAAACUGCAGUCUUUCAGCAUAUCAUCCUCGUGGCAUCUUUCUUAAAUGUGACGAAGUCCCUUUCGAUUACAGGAUUAUUCAGUUUCUUGAUGCAAAUUGUACAUAUGAGAUCUGUAUAUAAAAAGCAUGAAACACAGUUGAAUGUAUAUUUCUGAGCAGCUGUCUUUCUGUCUCACUUUGUCACAGUUAUUCUAUUACUGUAAUGCAACUAUUUGGCAAUUUCUGUAAAAAAGACAUAAUUUAAAGAAACAUUCAGGGUUCAGUACAAGUUAAGUUCUAUCAACAGCCUUUGUGAUGUACUGUUAAAGGUGCUGUAAGCAAUUUUAGCCAUUCUCGAAUUUCCCUAAACUGAGCCGUUGCAUUAGCCACGGCCCCUUUUUUCAAAACCCCGCACUCCAAAGUUACCAAAUUAACUUUAUUAAAGGGUUAGUUCACCCAAAAAUGAAAAUUCUCUCAUGAUUGACACCUUGAAGCAAUCCCAGAUGUGUAUGUCUUUCCUUCUUCAGCAGAACCGAAGUGAAGAUUUUUAUAAGCACAUUUCAGCUCUGUUUGUCCGUACAAUGCAAGAAAACGGGUGCCAUCAGGCUGCUGGCUGUUUGACGGUUCAAAAGGCAUAUUUAGGCAGCAUAAAACACGACUCCAGUCGAUCAAUUCAUAUCUUCAAAUGGAUAGGUUUGUGUAAAAAAAAAAGAAAUCGAUAAUUAAAACUUUAUUAACUUUUUAAAAAAAAAAUUGCUUCCUGCCAGCAGUCGUCGCAUCAGUGGCAUAAGCACAAUUGCAUGUUCACGCGAGAAGUCGGAAGCGUGCUCUUUGUUUAUAACAGAGGAACGAACGUCACGCCAUUUCAAACAGCAGUACAGUGCUGGCUGGAAGCAACGAUUUAAAGUUAAAAACGUUUUCAUUAUCGAUUUGUUUCUUACACCAAACUAUCGGUUUGCUUCAAAAGACUGGAGUCGUGUGGAUUACUUUUAUGCUGCCUAAAUAUGCCUUUUGAACUGUCAAACAGCCAGCAGCCAGAUGGCACCCAUUCACUUGCAUAGUAUGACUUUCCUUCUUCAGCAGAACCGGAAUGAAGAUUUUCAUAAGCACAUUUCAGCUCUGUAUGUCCAUACACAUCUGGGAUGGCUUAAAGGUGAGUAAUUCGCUGCAACUACAAUACUAUGAGAACGUGCAAAAUGAUUGACAGACAGAAAGUGUCAUUGUCCGUGGCCCACGGACACAGUUUUGUUUGCUGUUUACAUUCUAGAGCUGACACAAAGACCAAUAUCUCAGGACACUUUUUUUAGUAAUUUCUUUCAGGGAGUAGUACAUUUUUUUGCAUUCCUUUCCAGCACAAAAGAAACAGACGCAAAACAUAUCUGAAGUUAAUGGUCUCUUGUCACCGCUGCCGUUAAAUGCAGAGCAUUUUUAUAUACAAUAAACUGAAUGAUGAAUCGAAGUAAUUUUUUGUGGCAAUCAACAUUAUUCCACAAUUGCUGUCAAAAGAGUUAAACUUGUAUUGAACCCAGUAAAUCCAUUUAGACCUUCACACUUUACCAAACAGUUCUUGACAGUAUUUCAUAAGAAUGUAUUUUAUGGUGUUUCAAUUUAGUAAAUGGUCAGAGAGAUCAGAUCCAAGUGUAAAUAAAUCUACUUCAUAUACCAUAGUUUAUGUAAUGUGCUUUUCAUCUCUUCAUUUCCUCAUUUCUCUCCUGCAUUCUGCUAAACUCUUGAGUUUCUCAUCUGAAGUACUGCAGGAGAUGAAACAUACCAGGACAUUUUCCAAGAUUUUACCCAGUUGGCAUCAAAUGACCCAGACAAAUUCAACCGCUUCUGAACACAUGAAUAAACCUUCAAUAGUAUAGCACACCACGCCAACCUCCUCAUAAAUGCAGUUGGGUAAUGCAUUUUUUAAGAAAUAUGUGUUUUUAUUGGAUUCGCUACAGAAUAUUGCCUAUAAUAUAAAGUAUAAAAUGUACUCAUUAGUUGGUGAUAUGUUUUUGAAAUGUAAUAUUUGUUUUCCUUAUUAAAUUGAGUAUUAAUUCUCUGAUUAGCAUUAUCUGUCAGAUUGUAAUUAUAAAUAUAAGAUGUCUUAUAUAGAUUUUUUUCCUGUAUUCAAUAUCUGCCCACAUGGUAAUUUGGGUGACAAAUUAUAUUGCACUCAGACCAGAUGAAAUGUAAUGUGCUGCGUUAUUGACUUUUUAUUGUAAAUUACGAUAAAAUAUUUUAUAUAGAUUUUCAUUCCUAGCUUUUUCGAUAUUGACUUAUCUAUUGAUUCUCAGAUGAACAGCGAGUAAUGGGAGUAUUUGUUUGAGCCAUUGGAUGUAAUAAGCCUCAUUCAUGAAACGCACUGAACAGAUUUGUGUAAAUCGUUCCUGCUUACAAAAACUGUCACAUUAAAUUAAAUGCAAAAUUUUACGUACAACAAGAAUAUUUUUAUGAAUGAUUUGCACAGAAAUGCAUUCUGCUUGUGUAAAUCAUUUGUAAACCCGUGUGAAUUGCAUGCAACAUUUUUCGUAAUAAAUGGUUUACAUUUACACAAUUUACACAAAUUCUGUAAUCCCAAUUUCUUACAAAUGAUUCACACAGAAAUUUGCUCUGAUCAUGUAAAUCAUUUUUAAAACUGUUCUUACAUAAAUUAUGGGAUUCAAUUCAAGAAUGGUUUAUCUAACUAUUUACAAAUUUUCUGAUUGUGUUUUAUGAAUGAUGGCCAUUUUUAGUUUUUGUAAAUAGCAAUUUAAGAGGAAUAUUAAAUUAAGUUCACAUAGUAUCACAAUUCCAAAAACUACAUUUACUGUACUGUAUGUUCAUUGUGCUCUCAGCAUGUUUUUAUAUGCUUAAUUGCUGUCUGAUGAUGUGGCGCUGUUAUUGCACAUUUUUGAAAGAGAUCUUACAAAACUCGUUGCAUUUUACAUGUGAACCCCAUCCCAAUUACUUAUAAGUAAAAACAGUAUACAGUGAAACAUAAUCAUACCACAAUGUAUUGGGAUGUAAAUUGUGUAUAUUCUGUAUAUUCUGUACAUACAUCAUCUUGGGCUGGGUAGUUUAUUUUGUGGUACUUUAAAUAUUUUGAUAUUGCUUUUGUGUAAUUUUGUUUCAGUUUUUUAUUCAACAUUCUGUAUUUCUUUCAGUCUGUAUGAUUCAAGCAAUUUGACAAUAUUUGACUGAAAAUAUCUUAAGAUAUAUUAUAAAUUGUUUUCGCAGUUAUUUUUAUAAAGCAUUUUUCUUUGUUUGA
This is an RNA transcript of Myxocyprinus asiaticus (Chinese sucker), 7034 nucleotides long. It is a transcript of the gene named arf-GAP with coiled-coil, ANK repeat and PH domain-containing protein 2-like, with no coding region annotated. NCBI's taxonomy places the organism in Eukaryota, Metazoa, Chordata, Actinopteri, Cypriniformes, Catostomidae. The transcript is spliced from 25 exons. The record is from RefSeq and is a predicted model, not a curated record.